This is a long non-coding RNA of Austrofundulus limnaeus, 500 nucleotides long. RefSeq lists it as uncharacterized. NCBI's taxonomy places the organism in Eukaryota, Metazoa, Chordata, Actinopteri, Cyprinodontiformes, Rivulidae. The record is from RefSeq and is a predicted model, not a curated record. The transcript is spliced from 2 exons.
AGUUACAUAGAAAUUUGUUCUUUCAGAUGCUGCUACAUAAAAUCACAUGGCCAGUUAUGGGCCGGAAUGAUGAUGAGGAAUGGGAUGUUGACUCCAUGUGCCACGUUGAAGAUCACUGAUUGAAACAGCCUCAUCAGAUUCAUGGGCUCAGCUGCUGACAUUCUGGAUUGGAUGUACUCCCUUCAGACAGAUCUUCCUACUUCAGCAACAUGUUUGACACACUAAAGUUCCCAGCCCACAUCAAAAACUACAAGGAGUUUGAAGAAGCACUUACUUCUGCCAUACAUAGGUAAUACUGUACGUGAGGUGUUGGGUGCUGUUCUGGAGGACAUGACAAGUUGAUGCAAAUUCAUUUGGGUUUUGGUUUAUUGUUAUUGAAAACUUCUGCUUUCCAAAAAUGCUUAUUGUUCCAUGAGUUUCGUGCAAUUACAGUGAUUCUGAAACACAUUCUGUUGCGCUCUCUCUCAACGCUGGAAAAAAAUAACACCACUUUAAAAUGA